AUUGAACGCUGGCGGCAUGCCUUACACAUGCAAGUCGAACGGCAGCACGGGUGCUUGCACCUGGUGGCGAGUGGCGAACGGGUGAGUAAUACAUCGGAACAUGUCCUGUAGUGGGGGAUAGCCCGGCGAAAGCCGGAUUAAUACCGCAUACGAUCCACGGAUGAAAGCGGGGGACCUUCGGGCCUCGCGCUAUAGGGUUGGCCGAUGGCUGAUUAGCUAGUUGGUGGGGUAAAGGCCUACCAAGGCGACGAUCAGCAGCUGGUCUGAGAGGACGACCAGCCACACUGGGACUGAGACACGGCCCAGACUCCUACGGGAGGCAGCAGUGGGGAAUUUUGGACAAAGGGCGAAAGCCUGAUCCAGCAAUGCCGCGUGUGUGAAGAAGGCCUUCGGGUUGUAAAGCACUUUUGUCCGGAAAGAAAUCCUUGGCUCUAAUACAGUCGGGGGAUGACGGUACCGGAAGAAUAAGCACCGGCUAACUACGUG
RNAcentral lists this ribosomal RNA (486 nucleotides) under uncultured bacterium. Its description in RNAcentral is "partial 16S ribosomal RNA". It matches the Rfam family "Bacterial small subunit ribosomal RNA", at positions 30 to 507 of the family's 1533-position model. The record is from RNAcentral.